This 73-nucleotide transfer RNA is filed under the name Sphaerobolus stellatus SS14. RNAcentral describes it as "tRNA-Lys (TTT) (tRNA-Lys-TTT-14-1)". It matches the Rfam family "tRNA". Rfam says of the family: Transfer RNA (tRNA) molecules are approximately 80 nucleotides in length. Their secondary structure includes four short double-helical elements and three loops (D, anti-codon, and T loops). The record is from RNAcentral. Lineage: Eukaryota; Fungi; Basidiomycota; Agaricomycetes; Geastrales; Sphaerobolaceae.
GGUUUGCUAGCUCAAUUGGUAGAGCAAGAGAUUUUUGUUCUCCAGGUUGCGGGUUCGACCCCUGCGUAAGCCC